Long non-coding RNA from Venturia canescens, 1302 nucleotides. RefSeq lists it as uncharacterized. NCBI's taxonomy places the organism in Eukaryota, Metazoa, Arthropoda, Insecta, Hymenoptera, Ichneumonidae. The record is from RefSeq and is a predicted model, not a curated record. The transcript is spliced from 4 exons.
CCAGCACCCAGCAGCAACCUACCGGUAGACUCAGUGACGUCGGAAUCUUUCCUCGAAGCCCUGCGCUUUUUUAAAACUUUUCGAGUAUGAUAUUUCGUCUGAUUGUCAGCUACCGUUACAAUUCUUUUCGAUUCCUCAAAAAUACGCCGAUAAGAGAAAAUUUUCACAAUUAUGCGAAACCAUACUUCGAUACAUGUAUUUAUAAAGACUCCGUAUAUCGUCGUUUUUUCGAUACCUCAUUUACUGUAAUACUAUACCAACGUUUUAUUAUCGAAGAUUCACGUAUUAAUUAUACGUGUUCGUAUUUCCAAUGAGUCUACGAAUUAUUUUGGCGAUCCCAUUGUUUCUUUGAUAUAGUAUUUUAGGAUGUGCUGUUUAUCUCGUUUGUACGUUUCCAACGGACCGCUUCAUUGCUCGUAGCGUUCUGCUGAGCAGGAUAUGUCGAGAUUGUCGAGGGUCGAAAGCAACAUCAGCAGCGGCGCAGCAACGCAGCAUCUAACACCUACCAACCAACUACCAAUGGCGGCCUGGCAACAGUGUCGCGUUAAAAAACAGGUAUAUAACGAUUAGAAAACAAGUUUUAUUCCCGGUGGUUUCUCAAUAAUUAAAAUAAAUCUUGUCAAGCGAAACUUCAUUUACAUCUUUGACAUUCCUCAUGGGAUCGAAUCAACGACCUUUAUUUUAAACGACGACGAUUGAAAGUUGUUGGAUCGCUUCGACAGCCAUUGCCGCGGUAAAUGUGUGGUUAUGAAACGUUUUUCGAUGUGGAUGUGAGUGCAAUCUGCUAUACCGACGCGUAAUUCACGUGCAGAACCGCAGCUGCAACCGAACACAUAUAUAAUUGUUGGUCUUUGGAAAUUUUCGUAAUUGUUACGUUAGAUCCUAAGAAAUGGCGUUUUGGCGAAAUUUCAUCCGAAAAAGAAUGAAACCAUUGGAUCAGGAUUAUGCAAGAAAUAUGAAAAAACAUUUGUCAGCCUUGUAUUUUUUUGUUGCCUGGAACUUGUUUGGACUGACUAUAUAUACAUGGGGAAAACAAUCGCUUCCGUCACGAAAUGAAGAACUAGAGAGUGCCAGCAAAUAUUAUUCAAGGAUAUAUGGCCUCUCAGAAGGGACUGCUUAUCGAUACAAGGGUUUUGAAUUAGUCGAAAAAUUUGAAAUUUUGUCCCACGAUAAGGGGAAACCGUACGAAGAAACAGAGGACUUUAAAAAUCACCAGAAAGCAAUAUCCAAUGAAAAUCUGGAACUUCUGGUCGAAGAAUCUGACAGUCUCUAAACACUUUCAAUAAAUUAUAAAAUUACAUA